RNAcentral lists this non-coding RNA (714 nucleotides) under Platycorynus sp. N26. Lineage: Eukaryota; Metazoa; Arthropoda; Insecta; Coleoptera; Chrysomelidae. The record is from RNAcentral.
ACAGGAUUUUUCGUCUCAUUUAAUUUAGAUAAUAUUUGAUUAAAGUGCCUGUAGUUAAAAGUGUUAAAAAUUUUUUAAUUAAUGAUUUAUAAAUUUAUAAUAGUACAAACAAAAAUUGUGCCAGCAGUUGCGGUUAUACAAAUUUGUACAAUUUUUUCUUUUCAAUAAUUUAAUUAAUAAUAAUAAUUUUAUAUAAUAGAAAAUGUUGGGUGAAAUCUUAUUUUUUUAUAAUUUAAUUAUUUGUUUAUGAGGUUAAGAUAUUUUGAAAUUAAACUAGGAUUAGAUACCCUACUAUUCAAGAGGUAAAUGUUAAUAGUGUUUAAGGAUUAAUAGUUAUAAUCUAUAAAAUUAAAUGAUUUGGCGGUUUUUUAUUCUAAUCAGGGGAACCUAUUCUGUAAUCGAUAGUUCACGAUUUAUUUUACUUUAAAUUUGCUUGUAUAUCGUCGUAAAUAAUUAUUUAUUGAUAAUUAUAAUUUUAAAAUAUUAAUUUAUUGAAAAUCAGAUCAAGGUGCAGUUUUUUAAAGGUUGAAAUGGGUUACAUUAAAUUUAUUUAAGGAUAAUUUUUUUAAUUAAAUUUUUGAAUUUGGAUUUGAAAGUAAAUUUAGUUUUUUACUAGUUUGAACUAGUCUCUAAAAUAUGCACAUAUCGCCCGUCACUUCUAUCUUAAGAUAGAAUAAGUCGUAACAUAGUAGUUUUACUGGAAGGUGAAUCUAG